UGGGGAAUUUUGGACAAUGGGCGCAAGCCUGAUCCAGCCAUACCGCGUGAGUGAAGAAGGCCUUCGGGUUGUAAAGCUCUUUCAGACGGAAAGAAACGGUUACGGCUAAUACCCGUGACUAAUGACGGUACCGUAAGAAGAAGCACCGGCUAACUACGUGCCAGCAGCCGCGGUAAUACGUAGGGUGCGAGCGUUAAUCGGAAUUACUGGGCGUAAAGCGUGCGCAGGCGGUUUUGUAAGACAGACGUGAAAUCCCCGGGCUUAACCUGGGAACUGCGUUUGUGACUGCAAGGCUAGAGUACGGCAGAGGGGGGUAGAAUUCCACGUGUAGCAGUGAAAUGCGUAGAUAUGUGGAGGAAUACCGAUGGCGAAGGCAGCCCCCUGGGAUAACACUGACGCUCAUGCACGAAAGCGUGGGGAGCAAACAGGAUUAGAUACCCUCGUAGUCCCUGAGCGGGCUGGCAAGGCGCAU
This 472-nucleotide ribosomal RNA is filed under the name uncultured bacterium. RNAcentral describes it as "bacterial SSU rRNA". It matches the Rfam family "Bacterial small subunit ribosomal RNA", at positions 355 to 825 of the family's 1533-position model. The record is from RNAcentral.